AAUGGUCAAUCAUUGCAAAACGAUGACUGCAAGGGGAAUAGAGAAGGGGCCGUAAUUUUUAAUUAUCGCCUUCCUAAGAACACUGUUGGUUGCCAAAGUUUACAAGUGACCCUGUUUAUCAUCCUGAAUCUGGGUAGGGGGGAGGAAGGAGUAUUUCACGAAGCCGUUUUGAUCCAAAGCCAGUCACUCUGGAAGAUAGGUGCAGAGGAAGAGAACGUAUUUAACUCUCUGAAAAGCGUCAAUAUUGAGUGGGAGAGCAGAAGAUUUCGGCUCCUGGAGCAAAACUGCCAAGAAAACACUGCGGAAACCUGGGCAGAUUCCUGCUGAAUGGCGCUCACAGUAGCGGGACCACAGGAAGUCCUCAUCCAGGUUCUCUUUUAG
RNAcentral lists this long non-coding RNA (381 nucleotides) under Podarcis muralis (Common wall lizard). Its description in RNAcentral is "lncRNA (ENSPMRG00000014123.1)". Lineage: Eukaryota; Metazoa; Chordata; Lepidosauria; Squamata; Lacertidae. The record is from RNAcentral.